Molecule: long non-coding RNA, 673 nt
Organism: Puntigrus tetrazona (Sumatra barb)
Lineage: Eukaryota; Metazoa; Chordata; Actinopteri; Cypriniformes; Cyprinidae
Exons: 2
Source: RefSeq, a predicted model, not a curated record
UGAAUUUUAAUGCCUGCAGUUUGGUUCUUGUCCUCGUCUUACGUCAGUCUUUUCCACAUACGCUCUCACUCUAUGAGGACUGUCUGGUCAGAACUAACAGUGACUACGUUUACGUGGACAUCGGUUCUCGAAUGAAUUACCUUUAUUCUGAAUGAGACAAUAUUACGAUUAAGGUGCGUACACGUGUUGCUUUCACGUUCCUGUUUUACAUCUUGUAGUACAUAGAUCGACCACAUGACGCCAUCCGACGUGUCCUUCAGACCUUCGUGAAUAGCAUACAGUUUUGGAUGUUUCAUUUUUGAUUUACUAAAAGAUACACAAAGUGCUACAUGACGAUAAUAGUGUAAUGACAAAUCUGUCUACAUAAUAAAUUCUUAAUAGUACAGUAUUGUCUUAAUCGUGUUAUAAUCAGAAUCUAUUGCUGUUCAUGUAAAUGUACUACUCGGCAUCCACAGUCCUGACCACUGGGUAAACCUGUGUGGCCCCUGGGCUCCGGACUUAGUACUUGGUGUGGUGCUGAUGAAGUAGCAAGAAAAACAGAAGAUAAGCUCUUCUUCCUCUUUUUUGCGACUGGAUUCUUUUUACACACAUUUACACUGUGCUGUUUCUGUGUGUGUGUGUGUGUGUGUGUGUGUGUGUGUGUGUGUGUGUGUGUGUGUGUGUGUGUGUGUGU